Molecule: transfer RNA, 72 nt
Filed under: Cordylochernes scorpioides
Lineage: Eukaryota; Metazoa; Arthropoda; Arachnida; Pseudoscorpiones; Chernetidae
Description: tRNA-Gly
Source: RNAcentral
UGCAUCGGCCGGGAAUCGAAACCGGGUCCCCCGCGUGGAAGGCGAGCAUUCUCGCCACUGAACAACCGAUGC